CAGGUCUCUGCUCAAAUUGCCCUUCCACAGAGGUGCUCGUGGUAUAUAAAUUGGAAUUCCACCCACUCACUCUUUUUCCCCAUCCCUUGUUUUGUUUUUAUUCAUAGCAUUAAUCAUUGCCUGAAACUACAUUAUAUAUUUCAUUCAUUCAUUCAUUCAUUCAUUUAUUCAGCAGAUACGUGCCAAGCCUCUGCUUUGAGUGAGGCACUGUUCUAGGGGUGGGGUCUACACCCAAUAGCCAAGAUACACAAAGGUCCUGCUCACAAGGAGCUUACAUCCCAGCAGAGGAAAACGGAUCUUCAGCAACUUGGCAAAUAAAGGAAUCCUAUACUGGGACGGUAGGUGCUGGAAGAUAAAUGAUGCAGCAUAAAGAAAACAUGGAGACAUGGCAGGUGGGGCUUGGGGCAUGCCUUUUUUAUCUGUCCAGUGAACAUAGAGUCUGACAAGUAAAGCGACAUUUGAGUAGAGACACUGAAGAGAGUGUCACAACCAGAGGAGACAGCAAGCAAACUGGUGUGACCAGGACAUUAAGGGAGCCUGAGUCUUGACUGAGGGAAUAAGGAAAGGCGUGAGAGGUGUCACAUGGCCAGGACACAUAGGGUUUUGAGACCCAUGGUAAAGAUUCUGGCCUUUACUGUGAGUGAAAAGGGAGGUCAUGCAGGGCUUGGAGCAAAAGGUGGGCAUGACUGAGGGGCCCGGGAGGAGAAACAAAGAUGGCAGUUAAGGGCCCUGCAAAACUGCAGGAGAGACAAGAGACCUGCACCAACGUGGUGGGGGUAGAGGCAGUGAGUUUCAGAUUCUGAUACAAUCUGAAGGAAGAACCAGCAGGAUCUGCUGAUGUAUGGGGUAUGGCGCAAGAGAGAAAGAGUAGAAUCAAUUUGACUCCAUGUUUUGGCUUGAACAACUAAAAGAAUGGACUGGUGUUGUUAUUGUUGUUGUUGUUGUUUGAAACGGAGGAGAAUGAGAGAGGAACAGGUUGAGAAGGGGCCAGGAAAUUCAUAGUUCCAUUUGGGGCAUAGUAAGCUUGAGAAGCCUGGUUUGGCUUCUGGUAGAUAUGUCAAGCAGGCAGUUGAAUCUAUGACUCAAGAAUUCAGAGGAGAGGUUUGAGCAUCAUCAGCAAAUUGAUAGCAUUUGAAAGCAUGAUAUAGGAUUUAUUUAUUGUCUUUCGGUCCUACCAUGAGGGUCGGGACAUUGUUUUGUGUUGUUCUAUCUGUAAUUUCCAGAAGAGUGCCUGGUGCAGAGGCAUUGCUCAGUAAAUAUUUUGAAUGAAUGAGUGCUUCAGUAGACAGCAUCUAGCACAUGAUCGGUACAUUAUAAAUACUUGAUGACUGAAUGGAUAAUGGCUCUCCAGAGGGGUUAGCACAAUACCUGGUAUACGGCAGCUUUGCAAUACAUACUGGGUGGAUGAUUGACAGUUUCAACAUGAUUCUAUACAGAACUGGAUUGCCUGUCUCCAGGACCAGAUGUGAGAACAAAGAAGCCAUAAAAUGUGCUAGACGUAGCAUCAUGUAAGCAAAAACCAGCCCAUGUCCCUGAUGUAUGGACAGUGUUAAGCAUGUCUUCUUAAUCAUCAACAUGACCUAGAAUAAAGACAUAUGUGAAUUCCCCCCACUCCAGUCCUGGCGCGGAAGCCGUGUGUACCAUGCUCUUCAUAGCCCCAGUCAACUGAAAGAGCAUGGCCAGGCUGCCUUCCCUGUCUACGUUGUGAGAAGGCAUAAAAGGAUGGCUGUGAGAGAGGUCUCAAGAGUAAAAGUGCUAUAAGUC
This is a long non-coding RNA of Sapajus apella (tufted capuchin), 1764 nucleotides long. RefSeq lists it as uncharacterized. The record is from RefSeq and is a predicted model, not a curated record. Lineage: Eukaryota; Metazoa; Chordata; Mammalia; Primates; Cebidae. The transcript has 2 exons.